UGUUUCAUUUACUACCAUCUGCAAGCGGGUAUUGUAUUUAUCAAGCCUUUCGUUUCUUUCUGAGCUGUCCCGCAUCUAUUUCGGAGCUGGUCAGUGAGUGCAUGGGGAGCCCAUUGGAAGAUGUCUGUGGCAUGGAGUCUUCUUUGCUGUCAUUUGGGGCAUAUGGAAUGAGAAAAAUAAGAGAAAUUUUCAAGGGAAACAAUUCCCAGUCUGUGGCAUCCUUAGCAGAAUCAAUGGAGGCCUAGAUUGGGCGACAGCCAUCCAGCACUUUGGAGGAUUCUCAAGGGGGAUGAUCAUGCAUAAUUGGGAGAAAUCUUCCUGUGCCUCUAAAUGCCUGUGGGCCAUGUGUCGGAUGAGUUCAGUUUCACGGCUGUGGUCUCAUUCAGGAAUUAGAGUCCUGUUUGUUACCGUUUUAUCUCAAAUCGGGGUUUCUAUAUAGUUUUCUUUGCUCUUGGAGCCUCGUAUGUAGUUGGCUAGGGUAGCAAAGCAUGUUGUCUUUUAUAUUUUCCUAUUCAAUAAAGGAUCGUCACCCAUGAAAAAAGCUAAACACUCAAGAUUACCAGGUUUAGCAUGUUUAAACUUCAGCCACUAGAGUCGCCUGGCGAUUCUUGACUAAAUAUGUUGCUAACUAAUUGCGAUUUCCUGUUUGUUAGUGUUUGUUGCCAUUUCCUUUUUUAUUCCUAUUUUGAUUAUUUUCUAUUCUUUUUCAUACAAAAUCUUGGAGUUUGCAACCCAAAAUCUAUGUUUGGGGGAUCAAUAGAAAUUCAAUGAGUUUUCCUUUUGCAGGAAGUUCUUGGGAGAUCCGUAAAUGGUACAACGUAUGCAGGAAUCCAGGCCCAAACGACAGGAGCUCCACAGAACCAUUGGUCUGCUUGUGGAGCUCCCUUUAUCUUUUAUCAUUGUAGGACUGUAAAUUCCUUGAUGAGAGCUGGUCGCCAAAGUUUACAGUCAUUGUGGCUCAAAAGACUUCAAGAAAAGGCAGCUUUCCAAACUUCCCUUGGGUGAAUGUAUGGGAUCCUUACAAGCUCUCGGUUAUAAGCUCCAAUGUUUCCGAAGAAGAAAUAGGAGCAAUGGAAAGUGGCAUUUAAUGGUUUGCUAGUGUCAUCCAAUCUAGGCGACUGUUUGGGCAUGGUCCACUCAUAUGAUCAAUGGUCUAGAUUGCUGCACUGUAGUCCACACUGGUAGGAACUCAGGGCUUGAGGACUCUAAACUUAUCUGCGAGCUGAAGAUAUCAUAUGGUUUUCUGAAAGUUAUUUAAGGUACCAUUUUGUUUGCUUUUUUUUUUUUUUCCUCCUGCUUUUCCUUGUGUCUCAAAUCUGUAAAUUUUUUGUCCAUUAUAUAACCUUUCAUUCUCAGGAUGCCUGUAAAUGGGGCUAAUUGUAAAUGAUUUACAGGUUGUGUUUGAGUGCUGAUUUAAGCCCGUAAAUGUCUUCUAAUCUAGAAGAUUCAGCCUAGCAGAAUUUUUAAUUGUUUCUUUUUUCUUUUUCUUUUU
Molecule: long non-coding RNA, 1492 nt
Organism: Magnolia sinica
Lineage: Eukaryota; Viridiplantae; Streptophyta; Magnoliopsida; Magnoliales; Magnoliaceae
Exons: 4
Source: RefSeq, a predicted model, not a curated record